This 16090-nucleotide long non-coding RNA is filed under the name Capsicum annuum. RNAcentral describes it as "long non-coding RNA (CANN_LNC007743)". Lineage: Eukaryota; Viridiplantae; Streptophyta; Magnoliopsida; Solanales; Solanaceae. The record is from RNAcentral.
ACUCUAAUUAUGCAGUCAGCCUAAGCCCGAAUCUAACAGAAACGGUGAAGGGAAAAUUGAGCCUUGGGGCAAAAAUUCUUAAAGUAGGAGGGUUGGAGAAAAUAUUCAAGCAGAAGUUUAGUGUUAAAGACGAUGAAAAGCUAUUGAAGGUUUCUCAAUGCUAUUUAUCAACUACAGCUGGUCCAAUAGCAGGCCUCCUCUACAUCUCUACUGAUAAGAUUGCUUUCUGCAGCGAGAGAUCAAUAAAGCUCCUAUCUCCAACUGGAAAGUUGAUUAGAAUCCGCUAUAAGGUACCACUGCUCUUCGUUUCUUUCAUCUCUAAUUUUCUAGCCACGUAAAGCAUAAUCUAAUAGGCCGGUUCACAAUUACAGGUAUCAAUCCCAAUAAGUAAGGUAAUGAAAGCAAAAGAGAGUGAAAAUAUGAAAAAUCCAUCACAGAAGUAUAUACAAGUAAUUACAGAAGAUGACUUUGAGUUCUGGUUCAUGGGAUUCCUUAAUCAUCAAAAGACACUGAGAUAUCUGCAGCAUGCAAUUUCAAGUACUUCAAGCAGCUAGGAAAAACUUUUAUUUUUAAUUUUGUUUCCUAACACGCCCAUUCAUCAAUGUAAAAACAAAUGUACAGAUCUGUUCAAACUUGUAACCAGCUCCAUUGGUCAAAGGAGGUUUUAGGUUUUGUAGGCUUUCAGCCUUAGUCGCUAAAACGAAUGAAUAGACUUAUUGUAAAACUAAUGCAAAUAGAAGGCUAAUUCAUCUUUCGGGACUUGGCCACAGUCAUCCCACAAUUUUCAUGACACCGCUCGUUAAUCUUGAUCCCUCCGUCCUUCACAUCAUUCCCACAGAUUCAACUUUAAUGUCAUAAUUUUUUAACUUCAACUUUAAUGUCAUAAUUUUUUAUCAUUAUCUUGUCUACCUUGAUUAUACAAUAUUAGUAAACUAACUUUGGAAAAUCUUACUAUGAACCUGAAGCUGGUGAAAAGAAUCUAAGAGCGAACCUUACAGAACUAUUUAGGAGUGGGUGCCACCACUCGAGACCGGAUCCAGUAAGGUUCUGUUAAUCAUGUCCCCUUCCCAACAGUUGUACCUUGUCUUGGAGCAUAUUUGGCUCUAUGAUAGAAAGCUUGCCGGAGAAAUCCAGGUAAUUAGGACUACUAAAAGUUUAAAAGUGCCAAAAAAAGAUCAUGUCAAGUUAGGGGAUAACAAGAAAUUCUGCAAAAUCGUAUACUCAAAACCAUAAAUAAAAAAUAGAGAAGCAUAUGAUAAUAUCUAUUGAAACAUAAGUUUUCAAGUAAAAAUAAGAAAUAAAACUUCCAUGCUGACUGUAAAAAACGAGGGCCAUGAAUGGUAUUUGAUGAGUCGAUUUACAACGAAAAGGAAAAAAGACAAUUAGGCUGAAUUAGACUAACCUUACUAGUUUUGAUAACGUAAUACAAUGAUCAAAGUAUAAGAAACAGUACUACGGCAAACAACAAGACAUUGCAUCCUGUUGAUUUGUGAAUAUUUACGAUUUUAUUUUGUAGGAUCUUAAUUGAUCUGAUAAAAUCAUAUUUGAUUUGCUAUAGAUAGUUAAGAUAAUUAGGUCAAAUAAGAUCAUAUCUUGAUUGUCAUAUCUGCUAGAAUCAAGCGAUUUGAUUCUGUGUGUGUUUGCUUUCCCGCACUAUAAAUUUGUAGCUCUCAGAUUACCAAUCUCACAUGGUAUCAUAGCAGUUUUAUUCUUCUGUUGCUGAUGACUAAAGCAGCAUUUACUGGGUUACAUCACCCAGGGGCAUUAAUAGAAGCCGAGAGUUCUAUUUAAAGGUUCGAGAGAUGAAGGAGUAGUGUAUUACACUUGUAUAUCAUCCAAAAGUUAGAGCGAUAUAAAUACAAGUAAAGGAAAGGCUAACUAACGUAACUAGAUAUCUAAAUCCCUAGAAAUCAGCUAGAGUAUUUUAUACAUUUUAUAGAGCACAAUUAAGGGAGAGAAAUCUGCAGAAAUCUGCACAAUAUUUACACAAUCAUUCAUGUCCCAAUACGCCCCCACAAGUAGAAGGGGGAAUCAAUAACCUUUAACUUGGACAAAUGUUGAUGAAAUAGCACAUGAGGCAAAGGCUUUGUAAGAGUGUUCGCGUGCUGAUCAGCAGGAUGUAAAUGUUGAACGAACACCUAUUUUCGCUGCACUUGAUCUCUAACAAAGUGAAAAUCAACUUCAAUAUGUUUUAUCCUACUGUAUAGUACCAUAUUUUGACAUAGAUCGGUAGAACCAACAUUAUCACAGUUGAUUAUGGGUGGAUUAGGUAGCUGCACAUGUAGUUCUACCAGAAGUUUUUAAACUCAAUUGACCUCAGCAAGAGCAGAAGCUACUGCACGAUACUCUACUUCAGUGGAGGAGCGUGCAAUAGAGCGUUGCUUCUUGGAUAACCAGCUAAUAGAAUUUGCACCAAGGUAUAGGAUAUAUCCAGAAGUAGAGUUCAUGUCAUUAAUGUCACCAACCUAAGCGGCAUCUGAAUACAUAAACAACCCAUGAUGUGUCUUGCUCGUUAUUUGUCAGCCAUGAUUUUUGGUGUAUUGGAGGUAUCGUAAGAGUUGCUUAACAAAGGACCAGUGCAUUUUUGUAGGAGCAUGCAUGAAUUAAGAUAAUUUGUUAAAAGAAAACUUAUAUCUGUUCUGGUGAAUGACAAAUAUUAAAGCUUACCAAGUACUUGACGAUACAAAGUGGCAUCCGUCGGAGGUGUGUCAUCUUUUAAGGAUAGUGAGGUAGUGGAACUCAUGGGAGUUGUAACAGACUUACAUUCAGACAUUUUAUGGGUAGCAAGAAGAUCUAAGACAUACUUGGCCCGACAAAGGACAAUCUCUUCUUUAGUGCGGAGAACUUCAAUACCCAAAAAGUAGUGGAGAUGUCUGAGGUCUUUGAGAAAGAAUCUUGCUGAAAGAACUUGGAUAGUUUUCUUGAUAACCUCAAAUUUGAUCCAGUGGUAAUUAUGUCAUUAACAUAUACAAGAAUGUAGACCAAUGCUUCAUUUUGAUGACAAAUAAAUAGAGAAGAGUCAGAGUUAGACUCUUGAAAGCCAAUUUAAAGCAAGAAUUGCUUUAACUUAACUCUUGAAAGCCAAUUUAAAGCAAGAAUUUAUUUAACUCACAGUACUAGGCUCGAGGGGCCUGCUUAAGUCCAUAAAUUACUUUUUUUUAAUUUGCACACAUAAUAAGGAAAAUCAGGAUGAGCAUUCCCACGAGGUUGACGCGUAUAAAUAUCUUCUUCAAGGUAUCCUUGGAGAAAUGCGUUAUUCACAUCCAGUUAAUGCAAAUGCCAAUUGUGUUGAACCGUAAGCAACAAAAUAAGUCUAACAGUAGAAGGUUUUACCACUGGACUGAAUAUAGAGUGAUAAUACACACCCGGUCAUUACGUGAAGCCCUUUGAAACUAGCCAAGAUUUAUACCUAUCAACACUUUCAUCAGAUUUAGUUUUGAUAUGAUAGGGCCAUUUGCAAUUAAUAAUAUUUUGAGAAGAGGGUAGCGGUACAAGAUCCCACGUCUUGUUGUUCAUCAAUGCUUCAAACUCAAGUUUCAUUGCUUCUUUCUAGUGUGCACUCUUUUGGGCUUGGUUAUAAGUGGUAGGAACUGGUUCAGUUAAUGCAACUGCAAGAUAAUCAAAUGCUUGCUUGGGUUUGGUGAUAUUUUUUGUGAAUGAGUAGUCGAUAAAUGGGUGGUUGUUGGAUAUGUGAGGAAGCUGUGGUGGAGGAAUGGUGAUGAUUAUGAGAUGAAAUGGAUGGAGAGGGAUUUGGAGUUGGUAUAGAUAAAGAGAUUGUCAGGGUGUGUCGAUUUCAGCGUUAAUACUGGAUUAGUGGUUGUGUGGUAGGUGGGACAACAGUAGGCCGUAUGGAGCAACCUGAGCCGAUGGCAGGAGUUGGCAUUGCUGCCAAAGAUGGACCUAAAGAUGAACCUGUAGGAGGAGUCACUGGUAAUUCGGGAGCAAUCUUGAUUGGCUGGAGAAUCUCAUAAUCCACUAGAGGCAUAGACUUGACACUAAGGUCAUUUGACUCUUUGUACAAUAUAUCCCACUUUAACUUUGAAAUUCUUUUGUCUUUCAAGGAUGAAAAUAUAUUAGAAAAAAGGAAAUUUAUUUUCAUAAAAAAUAACAUCUCGUGAAAUAUAUAUCCUUUGUGAAAUAGGAUCAUAACACUAAUGGUUGUGAUGGGUAUUAGAAUAGCCUAAGUAAACAAAAGGGGUGGACUUGGGUUCUAGUUUGUGUUUGGCAUAUAGUUUAAGCCAUGGAUAACAUAGGCAACCAAAAGUACGAAUGGAUUGAUAAUUUGGAAUUUCUCCAAAUAAUCAUUGGUAUAGACAAUCAUGAUAAAGUGUACAGGUGGGCGACCUGUUAAUUAAGAAUGUGGCUGUAAUUGAGGCCUGAUUCGACUUAUUAUGUUUGAGGAGAAACUCUAUGUUGAGAAGCUUGUUGUAUAGUUCCUCAUACGAGAUAGGUGUAUCUCGCGCUUGGAUAACUGUUGAAAUUGAAUCAUACGCAGGUCCUAGGCCACUGAGUAUUUUGACCGCAAGUUUGUCAGAUGGAAUAGGAGUUCUAGCCGUUGCAAGUUCAUUAGCGACAUUCCUGAUCUCGUGCAAGUACUCUGUCAUACUGUGAGAGCUUUUUGUGAUUGUAGGCAGAGAGUUUAGGAGACUAAAAACCUUUGUAUGUGAUUUAUUAGCAUACAGGUUAUGAAGUGUGUCCCACGCUUGCUUUGAGGUGGAAAUUUUGGCGAUUUCAAAGGUGAUUUUAGGAUCAAUAGAUGCUAUUCAGGCAUUGCGUAUCAACUAGUCUUGGCGAAAGAGUUUAUAGUUGGGAUUAGGUACCUCUUGGUUGUUGAGGGUUACCGUUUUUGAUGGUCCUGUCAAGGUUCCAUUAAGAUAGAAGUACAGAUCAUGAUCGAAAAUGAGAGAUUCAACCUACGCUUUCCAAAUGGCAAAGUUCAUUGGACCAGUAAGUUUUAGGGGAAGUUGGGAACUGGGGUUAAAUUGCACCAGAUGGCUGGGGUUAUUAGCAGGGAUAGUAGAAUCACUUGGAUUCACCAUGGAUGCCAUAGAACUAAAAGGAAAACUUGAAAGAGAUAAGAAGACUUAUUGGAUUUAGAAAGGCUCAGAUACCAUAAAAGUUCAAGAGACGAAGAAGGAGUAGUGUAUUAGACUUGUAUAUCAUCCAAAAGUUACAGCAAUAUAAAUACAAGUAAAGGAAAGGCUAACUAAGGUAACUAGAUGUAUAAAUUCCUAGAAAUCAGCUAGAGUAUUUUACACAUUUAAUAGAGCACAAUUAAGGGAGAGAGAUCUGCACAAUAUUUACACAAUCAAUCAUGUCCCAAUACUAUUAACAAAGUUUCGACCGGGACAACAAUGAACCAAGGAGGCGAUUCUUCUCAUUUUUCCUUUCAACUUACGUCACAUAAGUUGAAUGGAAAGAAUUAUUUGGAAUGGGCGCAAUCUGUCCAUUUAACAAUUGAUGGUCGUGGAAAAUUUGGGCACUUGACUGGAAAACGAGAAAGCUUGAACCAGGAGACCCAAAAAUGAAUGCCUGGAGUUCAAAAAACUCAAUGGCAGUGGCUUGGCUACUAAACUCCAUAGAAACUUCCAUAGGUAAACCAUAUUUAUUUCUUCACACUGCUAAGGAUGUUUGGGAGGUGGUUAGAGAAACUUACUUUGAUAUAGAAAAUGCCUCUCAGAUUUUUGAAUUAAAAAUUAAACUGUGAAAAGAAAGGCAGGGAGAGAGAAGUAUUACUCUUUACUAUAAUGAGAUGGUUUCCAUGUGCCAAGAAUUAGAUCAAUUCUAUAAUUAUGAAUGGGAAUGUUCGAAGGAUAGCGUAAAAGCAAUGAAAAAGGAAUAAAAUGAGAGGGUAUAUCUGUUUUUAGUAGGGUUGAACCAAGAUUUUGAAGAAAUUCGUUCUCGAAUUCUUGGAAAAAAUCCACUUCCCACUUUGAGGGAAAUAUUUUCUUAAAUUAGGUGUGAAGAAACAACGAGGAAUGUUAUGGUAAAACUAGAUUCCAAUCUGGAAGCAAAAAGAGUCAUCUGCUUUAGCUGUUGCGAAAAAUGAGAAUGACAAGAUAAAAAAGUCGUGGUGUGAUUUUUGCAAAAAAUACCAGAACACUCAUGAGAAUUGCUGGAAAAUCCAUGGAAAACUGCCCAAAUGGAACAAAACAAGGUAGAAAACUAUGGCAGCCAGGCCUUUCAGUGUACCAGUGAAGAACUGGGCUGAAAUCUUCAUGUCAUUAUUUACCGAGGAACAGCUAGAGCUACUGCACAAAACUUUCCAUUCUCAACUCCAAUCCAGUAAACCUAAUCCUUCUAUACCCACUUGUUCUUUUACCCAGUCAGGUAAUGUGCCAUGUGUUUUUUUUACAGAUUCUAUUAGUAUAAGCUCUUGGAUCAUAUCUUUAGGGGAUAGCGAUCUCAUGACAUGGAACUCCCAUUUUUUCUCAACUUAUACUAUUUUAGCAGGAAAUAAAAAAGUCAAAGUUGUUGAUGGCUCCAUCUCAACAAUUUCUGAGAAAGGGAUAGUCAAACUAACCCAUUUUUGACUCUUUUUGAUGUCUUUCAUGUUCCAAAAUUGUCUCAUCAUCUUUCGUCCAUCAGCAAGCUGACUUAGAACCUUAAUUGUCGUGCUAUUUUUGACGAUAUUUUGUAUGUAUUUCAGGACAAGGUCUCGGGGAGGAUGAUUGGCAAUUCUAGAGUCUAAAGGUCUCUAUUUUCUUGAAGAUGGCGAUAAUUCAGUAAAUUUUAGUUCAGCUUGUUUGAACUCUAUUCUAGUUGAUAAUAAAGUCAUGUUAUGGCACUAUAGACUUGUUCAUCCUAGUUUUAAUUAUUUCAAACUCUUGUUACCAUAGUUGUUUAUGAAUAAAACUACAUCCUUUUUUCAAUGUGAAUUUUGUGAAAUGGCUAAACACAAAUGUUCAUCUUUUUCAUCCCAAAGUUACCAUUCCACAAAACCCUUUAAGUUAAUCCAUCGUGUUGUUUGAGGACCUUCUAGGAUAGUAAUUGUAAAUGGAAAAAGGUGGUUUUUGAGUUUCAUAGAUGAUCACACCAAACAAACUUACGUGUACCUAUGGAAAGCCAAGGGGGAAGGAAAACAUAGAUUUGAGGCCUUUUAUAUUAUGUUUGAGACACAAUUUUAUGAGAAUAUUCAAAUAUUUCAGAGUGAUACUGAGAGAGAGUUUUUUAUUGACCACCUAAGAAAUUUUUUCACUUCUAAAGGAAUAGUGCACCAAAGUUCAUGUCUCGAUACACCCCAACAAAAUGGAGUAUGGCUCCAUCUCAACAAUUUCUGAGAAAGGGAUAGUCAAACUAACCCAUUUUUGACUCUUUUUGAUGUCUUUCAUGUUCCAAAAUUGUCUCAUCAUCUUUCGUCCAUCAGCAAGCUGACUUAGAACCUUAAUUGUCGUGCUAUUUUUGACGAUAUUUUGUAUGUAUUUCAGGACAAGGUCUCGGGGAGGAUGAUUGGCAAUUCUAGAGUCUAAAGGUCUCUAUUUUCUUGAAGAUGGCGAUAAUUCAGUAAAUUUUAGUUCAGCUUGUUUGAACUCUAUUCUAGUUGAUAAUAAAGUCAUGUUAUGGCACUAUAGACUUGUUCAUCCUAGUUUUAAUUAUUUCAAACUCUUGUUACCAUAGUUGUUUAUGAAUAAAACUACAUCCUUUUUUCAAUGUGAAUUUUGUGAAAUGGCUAAACACAAAUGUUCAUCUUUUUCAUCCCAAAGUUACCAUUCCACAAAACCCUUUAAGUUAAUCCAUCGUGUUGUUUGAGGACCUUCUAGGAUAGUAAUUGUAAAUGGAAAAAGGUGGUUUUUGAGUUUCAUAGAUGAUCACACCAAACAAACUUACGUGUACCUAUGGAAAGCCAAGGGGGAAGGAAAACAUAGAUUUGAGGCCUUUUAUAUUAUGUUUGAGACACAAUUUUAUGAGAAUAUUCAAAUAUUUCAGAGUGAUACUGAGAGAGAGUUUUUUAUUGACCACCUAAGAAAUUUUUUCACUUCUAAAGGAAUAGUGCACCAAAGUUCAUGUCUCGAUACACCCCAACAAAAUGGAGUAGAAGAGAGAAAAAAUAGGCAUCUUAUGGAAGGAACUAGAGCCUUAAUGUUCACAAGCGGAGUCCCUAAAUUUCUUUGGGGAGAAGCUCUUUUGACAUCCACCUAUCUUAUUAAUAGGAUGUCUUCCCUUGUUCUAGGUUUUAAAACCCCUUUCACUAUGUUCAAGACAUAUUUCCGUACUUAUAUAUUGACAACAUAUCUAUCUUUGAAAGUUUUUGGGUGUAGUGUAUUUGUUCACGUUCAUGAUCAUAAUAGGAGUAAACUUGAUUCAUGUACUAAAAAAUGUGUUUUUGUUGGCUAUGCCCCUAGUCAAAAGGGUUACAAGUGUUAUGACCCAAUUACUAGGAAGGUUAUUGUUACAAUGGAUGUCACCUUUUUUGAAUCACAACUAUUUUUUGAAACUCAUCUUUAGGGGGAGAAACAUAGUGAAUAUUCGAGGGAUUCGAGGGAUGUUAUAAAGAUCUUCUUGACCUCACAUGUGAGAAACAAAAGGAUCUAGGUUUUAUGAUAGACAGAGGAAAUAGCUUUUUUGGUAAUAACAACCUAGAUAAGGUAAGAGAUCCCAACUUAAAUAAUGAAACUAAGGAUACUGAGACAAUAGAGCAUUUUCAUGAUACAAUUAAUGACAAGAAUGGGAACAAACAAAGGAAUUAUAGGUUUACAUGAGAAGAAACCGAAACCAAGAAAAAGAGAUCAAGGACUCUCAUCAGAACCAAAUGUCCGCCCCACAAGAUCUCACUGAUACAUAAGGUAAUUCUCAGAACCUAAUUAUGAUUUACCCGUUGUUAGUUUAAACCUUAGUCUUCCAAUUUCCAAACAUAAAGGGGUAAGAAAAGUCACCAACUAUCCCAUGUCAAAUUUUGUGUCAUAAAGAAACUUGUCCCCUUCCUAUAUAGCUUUUCGUUCUCAAUUAUCUGGAAUGGAGAUACUGAGAAAUGUGCAAGAGGUUUUGAACGUUCUCGAGUGAAAGGAGGUAGUUCUUGAGGAGAUAAAUGCUCUAAAGAGAAAUGAAACCUGGAAAAUGGUGGAACUACCACGUGGAAAGAAAAUAGUAGGCUGCAAGUGGGUGUUCACUAUCAAGUUUAAAUCAGAUGGGUGCCUAGAGAGGUCUAAGGAACAUUUGGUAGAAAAAAAGAUUUACUCAUACUUACGGGAUUGACUAUUUUGGGACAUUUACACUAGUUUCCAAGUUGAAUAUAAUAAGGUUUCUUCUAACCAUUGCUGCCAACCUUGAUUGGCCCCUCCAUAACUAGACGUAAAGAAUGCAUUCUUGAACGAAAAACUCGAAGAAGAAGUCUACAUGGACCCUCCUCCAAGUUUUGAAGAAAGGUAUGAAACUAGAGCGUGCAAGCCAAAGAAAUCUCUUGACGGGCUCAAACAACCUCCAAGAGCUUGGUUUGAGAGGUUUACUUAGUUUAUGAACAAAUAAGGGCACACUCAAGGGAAAACAGUUUAUACCAGGUUCAUUCGACAUUAUCUUGAAGGAAUGACAACUAUCCUAAUAGUGUAUGUCGAUGAUAUUAUACUUAUAGGAGAUGACUUGUCCGAAAUGGAGAAUUUAAAGAAAAAUUUGGCCUCGGGGUUUGAGAUUAAAGAUUUUGGCCAAUUGAAAUAUUUUCUUGGCAUGGGAGUAGCGAGUUCAAAAGAAGGCAUUAUGGUGCCACAAAGUAGGUAUGUACUAGAUCCUCUAAAAGAGACAAGGAUGAGUGGUCGUCAUUCAGAUGAAACACCUAUUGAUCCUAAUAUAAAAUUUGAAAAUAAAGAAGGAAAUUCAGUUGACCACAAUCAAUAUCAAAGACUAGUGGGGAAGUUGAUCUACUUGGCACAUACUCGACCUGAUAUAGUUUUUUUUGUAAGCUUAGUCAGUCAGCUAAUGCACUCUUAAAAGGAACAACACCAAGAAGCAGUCUAAGGGAUCCUAAGAUAUCUUCAAAGUUCUUCGGGGAAAGGGUUAUUUUUCAAAAAAGUCAACAUAGGGGCUUUGAAAGUUUUAUAGAUAUAGACAAGGCAGGAGGUCUACAUCUGGAUAUUGUACAUUUAUCUCAGGAAAUCUUGUGACUUAGAGGAGUAAAAAGUAGAAUGUUGCAGCCCAUAGCAGUGUUGAAGUUGAAUACCGAUCUAUGGCCAUGAGAUUUGUAAAAUGAUUUGGCUUAAGAAGAUGAUGGAAGAACUCAAAAACAUUUGGUUUACUAAUGAAGUUGUAAUAUGACAAUAAAGCGACCAUAGGUAGUGCUCACAAUCUAGUUCAACACGACACAACAAAACAUUAUGAAGUGAAUAGGCACUUCAUAAAAGAGAAGAUUAAAGAAGAAAGUGUGUUCAUGCCUUUUGUCUCAACAAAUCAGAAAAUUUUAAAUAUUUUCAUAAAAGGCUUGUUUAAAUCAAAACGUGAAAUUCUUGUAAGCAAGUGGGGCAUGAUAGAUAUUUAGAUGCCAACUUAAGGGGCAGUGUUGAUUUAUGAAUAUUUAAGAUUUAAUUUUGUAGGAUCUUAAUUGACCAGAUAAAAUUAGAUCUAAUUUUCUACAUAAUUUAGGUAAUUAGAUCAAAUAAGAACAUAUCUUGAUUUUCAUAUCUGUAAGAAUCAAGCGAUUUGCUUCUGUGUGUGUUUGCUUUCUUGUACUAUAAAUUUGUAGCUCUCAGAUAAUAUAAUACACACUUUUGUACCAAUCUCACACAUCCUUUUGCCCUAAUUCGUAUCCUCCGUAGCCUCCUACAAAUAUCAUGUCCUUUAUAAGUUAAAACUGCACCAUGUCUAUUCUAAUCGCCUCUCCCCGCUACUUCUUUAGUCUACAUCUACCUUUCCUGAAACCAUUCAUGGACAAGCUCUCAUACCUCCGCCCUAGGCAUCCGUGUGUCUCCUCAUCACAUAUCCGAACCAUCUUAACCUCAUUUUUCUCAUCUUUUCCUCCACCAAAAACACUCUCACCUUCUCUCAAGUAUCCUCUUUUCUAAUCCUAUCUCUCCUAGUAUUCCAUAUAUCCAUCGAACAACAACAUUUGCAUCACUUUGAUCUUCUAAACAUGAGAGCCUUUGAUAGGCCUGCACUCUAUCUCAAACAACAUAGUUGGCCUAACCAUCACAUUGUAAAACUUGACUUUAUGUUUUAGUGGAACCUUCUUAUCACACAACACUCUGGAUGUGAGCCUCCAUUUUAUCUACCUUGUAUCAAUAAGGUGAGUAAUAUCCUCGUCAAUCUCCCCAUUUCUACGGAUAAUAGAUACAAGAUACUUGAAACUUCCUCUUGUUUGAUUAUUUAUAUUUUGAUUUAACUAAAACAUACUAAUUUUGAGAUUUUUUUAUUCUUCGAUUUUGCAUUAUAUAAUUUUGAGAUUUUCAUUGUUAAUAAAAUUAUUUACCUUAUCAAAAAAAAAAAUAUAGGGUUACUUUAUUUAAAAUAAGCUCUUUUUAUAAUUGUGGAACCCGUACCAGUUAACGUGCAUCUCAACUAAUUCCGGGGAUACUUGCUACAUCCCACUAGGACAAGAUAUUGAGUAACUAUGUCCACCAUGGCUUGGACCAGUGACAGUGAGAUGAUAGUAUGUCGUAAACAAAAAGGAGGCACAUACCUGAGCCUUAAACUUAAGAUGCUCAAAUGAUCAUAUAUAUAUAUAUAUAUAUAUAUAUUAAAAUUUUUAAUAAUUUUUUAUAUAUUAUUUUAUUAAUUAACACGAGACACACGUGCAAAGCACGUAUAUUAAACUAGUUUAUAAAAUAAUAUAUAAAAAAUUAUUAAAAAUUUUAAAAAAUGAUUUUGACUUUAUGAUAAAUGUUGUAUCUAUUUAAAUGAGACUUUGAUCAUGCACAAAGAACAAAAUCUCUUAACCAUUAUUAACCAAUAAUAAAGUAAUAAAAGAAUGACUCAAAUUUCAUGUAUAAAUUGAAAAGCCAAAAAAAAAAAAAUCAGUACUUAAAAUUGAUUUCAAGUUACCUAAGUUACAUGAUGGAACUCUUUAAAAUUAACUAUAGAAAAAUUAUAAAUUUUUAUUAAAAGUAUUCUAGAAAAGACAUCUUGAAAAAAAUAAAACAGUGAGACAAAAACACGCCAUAACAUUUGUCACCAAAGCCUUUGUUUCUUUAGAAAGCAAAUCACGAACUAUGUAACCUCACUAAUUUUUGUUCUUACCACUCUUAGAUUCUAUUUUUUCACUUUCUUUUUCAUAGUAGAACACAACUAUUAAGCUGAGACAAAAGUUCCAUUAAUUAGAUUUCAAAAUAAGCUUCUAAACAUAGUAUGUCAUUAGUUACUUCUUCGGGGACUUCACUUAAAGAAAGAAAUCAACUACGCGGAAGAAAUCAUUGUUUCAAGUUUAAUUAGAUUAUGCAAAUCUUAUAUAUUCAUUCAAAGAUUAGAGAAUAAAUAAUAUAUUAUUAUUAUUAUUAUUAUUAUUAUUAUUAUUAUAAUAUUUAAGUUUUAUUGCCCCCUCUCUCCUCCCUCUUCACUUUAAGCAAAUUUUAUUAUUAAAUAACAAAAAGGAAUGAGAUAAAACUUGUUUUUUUGGCUACUUUAUUUGUCAAAAAUAAUAUGCUUGUUUCAUCCAAUUUUUUUAUCUGAAAUUUUCAACUGACAAAGAAAACAUGAAAAAUUCUUAAAAAGGAAGAAUCCAUUGUCAAUUGUUACUACAAUUCAAAUUAAAAUUAUUAACUAAAAGAAAAAAAAAAGAAAUCCAAAAAGGAUGAUGAUAGUGAAUGCAAGAAGAUGACUAAUUAAAACAAUAACAAAAUAAGAUGAAAACAUAAAAGUAGAAGAAGCCGAUGUUCUAGUCAAAUUUAAUCCAAAAUAUUACUUGAAUAGAAUUUUUACCUUGAUUUUUAGAAUACUUUAUUCGACCACAACAAUAUGCUUGUUUCAUCCAAUUUUUUCAUCUGAAAUUUUCAACUGAAAAAGAAAACAUGAAAAAUUAUUAAAAUAAAAGAAUCCAUUGUCAAUUGUUGAUUAUUACAACUAUUAACUAAAAAAAAAAUUCAGAAAAAAUGAUGAUAGUGAUUGCAAGAAGAUGACUAACUGAAACGAUAACAAAAUAAGAAGAAAACAUAAAAGUAGAAGAAGCCAAUGUUUAUUGACAAUUUGAUCAAAAUAUUACUUAAAUAGAAUUUCAGAUUUUUUUUAUUUAAGGUAAAUUUUAACUAAUUUAAAAGUGUUAAAUUCAUGAUAAAAUAAGUUUUGGUAAAAUUAAAAAGAAAGUCCUUAAUCCUAAAUUUACAAAAACUUAUGUACCGCUAACCAGGGGUGGAUUCAGGAUUUUCAGUGAGGGGGUUCAGUAGUACAUAUAAGGACUAGUCGAAGGGGUUCAACCUCUACUAUUUAUACGUAAAAAAAAAUCUUACCAUAUAAAAAUAAUAUAAUUUUCCGACGAAGGGGGUUCGGAUGAACCCCUGGACCCUAUGUAGAUCCGCCACUACUGCUAACAUCCUCCCACUUUUUAAUUAGCCAAAAUUUUUUGUGUGCUUUUUUAGUUUUAAGAAAAAAACGUUUACUUCCUUAAUUAUUAAUAGUUUUUCAAAUAAUUCUUUCCAUAUAUUUGUUGUUAGUUGUUAUCAUAUAUUUUAGGACUUUUUAGUUUGUAAAACUUACCAUAUAUAUUAGAACUUCUUACUUUAAAAUACUAUAAAUAUAAUUAAAUAAUAAUUUAAGAAAAAGGUGAAAAGACAAUUUUGUCUAUUGCAGACUGUUUUAAUGCAGGGCAAAAAGUUCGAAUCAAUUUUGUAAUGUUCUUCACACUUUUAAUAUAUUAUAGAUAUAGAUGAUAGAUAUAGAUAGAUAUAUAUAUAUAAAUAAAUUUUUUUAAAAAACUUAAAACAUUAAAAUAGGCCAAAUAACAUUUAUAAUAAAUAAGAAAGGAAAGGGACAACUUUAAAAUUGUGAAAAGAUCAUUCAAGAUGUUCGGAGAAGAGAUUAACUCAAAAUGACUUGAUCUCUCGUAAAGAAAGCAUGUUUCUUAUACUGUCCUUUGUAGAUGGUAACAACAUGAUAAAGUUAUAACAACUUGGCUACCAACUCAAUCCAAUCAAACUAUAAGACUGGAUCCAUUGCUUGCUUGACAUGCUUCUCAUAUAUCUAGACAGUGAUGGACCUAAGAGAGUAGAAUACCAUCCUACAAACUCCACAGUCGAAAAAAACACCAGACACAUGUGCAUAUGUCAUGUGUACAUGGUCUGUUCCACGUAAAAUCAGCAAAAGAUGGCCUACAGAUCUGCCUUUACACCUCAAGCUGAGAUGAAAAAAGGCAAGAUAAGGUAGCUGCCUUAGAAGAGAAGUUAAUAUAAUCCAGUAUUGUUGGCCUACAUUAAAGAAUGAUUUGAACGGCUGCUUUCUUUCCUUUGCCUGAUUUAUUAAGCAACAAAUCAAAGUUUUAUGGAUGGCUUGCUCAUGUUUCAAAGGGGACAAUCAAGUGUGGAUCGCCUUUUUGUUUUAAGAUAAGGUAAAUGAAUUUCAUUCACAAACAAGGCCGGACGGCCAUAUAAAAUAGAUUAAACAUUAACUUUAAUGUCAUAAUCUUUUAUCAUUAUCUUGUCAACCUUGAUCAUACAAGAUUAGUAAAACUAACUUGAGAUAAUCUUACUAUGACCCAAAAGCUUGUGAAAAGAAUCUAAGAGCGGACCUUAAGGAACUAGUUAAGAAUGGAUGCCACCACCCCAGCCCGGAUUCAGCCAGGUUCUAAUGAUCAUGUCCCCUUACCAACAAUUGUACAGGUCUUGGGGCGUAUUUCGCUUUAUAAUAGAAAACUCGCCAGCAAAAUCCAGGUAAUUAGGACUACUAAAAGUUUAAAAGUGCACCGAAUAAAUCAUGUCACGUUUAGGGGAUAACAACAUAUUCUGCAAAUUAUAAACUCGAAACCACAAAUAAAAAAUAGAGAAGCAUAUCAUAAUACCAAUUGAAACAUAAGUUGCAAAAAAGAACUAAGAAAAUAGUUAGAAAAAGAUAAGAAACAAAAAUGAAUGUUGACUGUAAAGAAACAAGGGACAAUAAUGGUAUUUGAUGAGUCGAUUUGAAAGGAAAGGAGCAAAGUCAAUUAGGCUGAAUUAGACCAACCUUACUAGUUUUGAUAAGAUGACUUCAAAGUGGGAAGAUUUCUAUUACUUUUACACAACUUGUAAAAGUAGGUUACAUCACAAAGCAAACCUACAAACUCAAAAGUUGAAAACACCACAUGUGCAGGCCAAUCUUCAUACUAGAAUAAGCACAGAUCAUCUAUUUUGCUUUUUUCUGAUGACCCAUAGCUGACACAUGCAGCAAUUAGUAGUUAGAACAUUCAUCAACAUCUCCCACCGAACUUACUCGGUGGAAAUUCGGCGGGUAUUCCCUUAAGUUCAGCAGUAUGCUCACAUGAAAGGCAGCCAAAAAGGCGACUGGUCCUAUCUUGUUGUGAAGACCAUAUUGUUCCAUAUACAACUUCAAAGAACAUACCUAAAUUAAAGCAAAGUGAGUAUAACCCUUAUCUUGAUGAAGAAUCUAUUGUUCUUGUAGAAGUUAUUAUGAGUAUUAAUCACCCUUGAAUAAGAGAUCAUUAAGAUUGAAUAUUCUUGAAUAUGCAGGAAAAUCUGUGAUUGGUAAGAUGAACAAACUUGGAGAGAGAAUGGACUGUCUUCUGCAAGGCAUCCGCGAGCAUGGUAAACACUCAUAUAAAAUCUUGAUAGAUAUAAUAUAAGGAAAGAGUAUUUGAAAGUCGGCAAAACUUCAACUUGCAAAUAAUGAAUUUUAGUAUUUGGAAGUGAAGUCACGGCCAAACAAAACUGUAAACCUAAAGAACACAGAUAAGUGAGAAAUGAAGUGAUAAAUUCAUGCAAGCAGAACAAUUUACAUGUAUAUACAAUACAAAGUAUUGAUUGUAAUGACAUUAACGUCGCAACUCUAAUUAUGCAGUCAGCUUAAGCCCGAAUCUAACAGAAAUGGUGAAGGGAAAAUUGAACCUCGGGGCAAAACUUCUUAAAGUAGGAGGGUUGGAGAAAAUAUUCAAGCAGAAGUUUAGUGUUAAAGAUGAUGAAAAGCUAUUGAAGGUUUCUCAAUGCUAUUUAUCAACUACAGCUGGUCCAAUAGCAGGCCUCCUCUACAUCUCUAC